CAGUCGUACCUUCGGGUAAUCAGCCUUUCGAGUGCGACUCUGUGGAGUGUGAGGAGCUAAACACCUCCAUGCCUGCAUAUUCGUGCUCUUGGGUGUACUUGCUCGUGUGGUUGGUUAACAUCAAUUUCGGACGCCAUAAAAUGGCUGGAGGAAUGUAGCUUCAAUCUCGUAUUGAAGUGUUAUAGCCUUCGGUAGAUGUGGUGAUCGAGAUUGAGGAUCGCAACGGAUACCCUUCGGGGCUACCUGUCUGGUCUCUGAUCGUUGCUCUGGUCCCGAAGCUUGCUUACGGUUAUCGAAAGUG
RNAcentral lists this ribosomal RNA (301 nucleotides) under Rhizophagus irregularis. The record is from RNAcentral. Lineage: Eukaryota; Fungi; Glomeromycota; Glomeromycetes; Glomerales; Glomeraceae.